AUUUUUUGACGUGCCUUUGGAGGCGGAACGGGGAUUGUGAAUGAUGGACAGUUGUACAGGCUUUGUGAUUUGCGCUCUGCAACCGAAGGAACACAUGGAUUUACAUUAUAGGUCCCCGACAUAAAGCAACCCCCCUGCCCCCCUCCACCCUCAUCCUUCAGUUCCACCCAUAUGUUUGCACCACCAUAUCCCACAUCCACGCUCCUAAUCAACAGAGCAAGGCUUUGUCUCACUUCCUCUAUUUUAUAGGAGUGAGUGCUAUCUCCGUCUCUCUGUGCCAUAUCACCCGGCAUGACCUGAGAGAGGAAAGCUAUCACCCCACAGCGCAGGCUUUAUGAGUGCGCUCAGAUGAUGGUGAAACCUUAUGAUUCCUUAUCGGGGAAUAUCAGAAUAUACAUCUGGACACAUUAGCUGGGGGCCCAGUUAGAGAAGACUCGACCUUGUCCGCUUUGGCGCAUUGUAUAAGUCAUAGCUCAAACUAAUUUGAACAUUAAUAAAUAAUUUGGAAAGUGUUAGAGUGCCUUCAUAGAGCCAUCAUAGCGCCUUCAUGGCACCUUCAUAGAGCUUUCGUAACAUCUUCAUAGGGCCUUUAUAACACCUUUGUAGUGCCUUCAUAUUGUCUUCGUAGUGUAAUAACACUUCUCUGGAAAAGAACAACCAUUCAUAGUGCUACUUAAAGAUGUGCUGCUCCUUCCUGACAGUUUUGCUGUUUUUUUGAGAAAGCAUAUCUGGUGUCUUUAAGCUCAUCCACCUGUCACUGUGCUCUUUCAGCAAUUACACAUCUGUCAAGUGUCACCCGGGCUUAGCUCUGACCGACAGGGUUAUGUCAAGCAGUCAGCCAUUACCCAAAUGGUUUAGAGUGGAGGGAUAGUAGGCACAUACUGCGGAAGAGUGAGCAUGGGUCAUUGUAACUGGGAGCUAGGGUUAGGUUAGGAGGGCCAGUGUAACUGGGAGCUAGGGUUAGGUUAGGAGGGCCAGUGUGACUGAGAGCUAGGGUUAUGUUAGGAGGGCCAGUGUGACUGGGAGCUAGGGUUAGGUUAGGAGGGCCAGUGUGACUGGGAGCUAGGGUUGUGUUAGGAGGGCCAGUGUGACUGGGAGCUAGAGUUGUGUUAGGAGGGCCAGUGUGACUGGGAGCUAGGGUUGUGUUAGGAGGGCCAGUGUGACUGGGAGCUAGGGUUGUGUUAGGAGGGCCAGUGUGACUGAGAGCUAGGGUUGUGUUAGGAGGGCCAGUGUGACUGAGAGCUAGGGUUGUGUUAGGAGCGCCAGUGUGACUGAGAGCUAGGGUUGUGUUAGGAGGGCCAGUGUGACUGGGAGCUAGGGUUGUGUUAGGAGGGCCAGUGUGACUGAGAGCUAGGGUUGUGUUAGGAGGGCCAGUGUGACU
This 1381-nucleotide long non-coding RNA is filed under the name Salmo salar (Atlantic salmon). RNAcentral's name for it is "lncRNA (ENSSSAG00000094726.1)". Lineage: Eukaryota; Metazoa; Chordata; Actinopteri; Salmoniformes; Salmonidae. The record is from RNAcentral.